RNAcentral lists this ribosomal RNA (397 nucleotides) under uncultured bacterium. RNAcentral's name for it is "bacterial SSU rRNA". It matches the Rfam family "Bacterial small subunit ribosomal RNA", at positions 32 to 412 of the family's 1533-position model. The record is from RNAcentral.
AAUCAACGCUGGCGGCGUGCCUAACACAUGCAAGUCGAACGAGAAAGGGGCUUCGGCUCCGAGUAAAGUGGCGCACGGGUGAGUAACACGUAGGUAACCUGCCUCUAAGAUUGGGAUAACAUGUCGAAGACGUGCUAAUACCGAAUAAGACCACGGCUUCCUCGGAAGCAGGGGUCAAAGAUAGCCUCUACUUGUAAGCUAUCACUUAGAGAUGGGCCUGCGUACCAUAGCUAGUUGGUAGGGUAAUGGCCUACCAAGGCAAAGAUGGUUAGCUGGUCUGAGAGGAUGAUCAGCCACACUGGAACUGAGACACGGUCCAGACUCCUACGGGAGGCAGCAGUGGGAAUAUUGCGCAAUGGGCGAAAGCCUGACGCAGCAACGCCGCGUGAGUGAUGAA